RNAcentral lists this long non-coding RNA (1479 nucleotides) under Helianthus annuus (common sunflower). RNAcentral's name for it is "sRNA HanXRQr2_Chr05g0233461". The record is from RNAcentral. Lineage: Eukaryota; Viridiplantae; Streptophyta; Magnoliopsida; Asterales; Asteraceae.
GUGACUGUUUUUGAAAAAUUCAGUUUUCGAAAAAAAAAUUUAAAAAAAGAAAAAAAAACCCUAAUUGUCGCUAUUGAGCGCUAAACAUCAGAUAGCGAUGAUCCAGCGCUACGCUAUUCGCUAUAGCAAUCGCUAUCAUCACUAUUAACAACUCUGAUUCAAAACGAAAAUGUAUCUACAUUCUACCGAUCAUUUCGACUUGAAGUUGCAAUAUUCAAUUUUUAAAGUCCGUAUUGGUUAGUUACCAGAUGAAAUGGGGCCCAAUUUCAGAGACGGCGUUUUGCCAUCCAGCAGCCCAUACUUUUGGGCCUUCAACGGCAAUUGCGAAUGGCGUAAGGAUCAAAAGCGAUAGCAACGAUAAACAAGCGUAAUAGUUCAUUCCACUAACGGACUUUCCCUUCAUGCCUCUUUUAGAAAAUAUGUUCCUAAACACAAACGCCAAAUUGGAUAUCAUAGCCCCCAUAAAACCUGAAAAAUCAUCAACCAGUAAGAAAUGAAAACAUGUAAGAAACGUAUAUUAUUACAGUGUUCGAGUUAUGAAAUUACCGAUCAUGUUGAAGUUGAGCUCGGUAAGGGCGGCAAGACCACAACCACCGAUGAUCGGUAAAAGAGACAAGUAAACCGACGUUGGGAAUGUUUCGCCUAAAAUAAACCUUGAAACCAAAACGCUAAAAGCAGGUUCACCGCUUUUGAUUAUGUGAGUGAAAGAAACUGCAACCUUAGACAUGCUUACAGUUGCUGCUACAUGACCAAUUGUAUGUGCCAAUGCAACCUGAAACAAAGAUUUCCAGAACUGAAGAUCAGUAUUGGGUGUUUCAGCAACUUUAGUAGCCCAAGAGAUCAACAUAAUGGCUGAUCCAGCAGCAAGAGACAAAGUUGAAGUCAACCAAGGGUAUGGAAAAGCAUUCAAAACCUUUUUAUUAUAAAUAUUAAAAAUCACAUUCAAAAACCACCAUGUUGCAAAAUAACCCCCAAUUUUCACCCUCUUUGCUGCUUCAACUUCAAUUUUCUCAACCCCAUCAGAUCUAUCAGCUUCAUACGCCUUACAAACAACCCUCCGAUCAUCAAGUUCAAAUCUUUUUAAUGACCCACAAGAUUGAAUCAAAGAAACAACAUGCAAAGGUUUUGAAUUUGUGACGGCGGAGAUUUUCUUGAUUUUGGGGUUUGAAAGAGGCGGUAAAACCAAGAAUCUUGAUGCGGAAUUGAUACGGUGAUCAGUGAUUUUGGAACUGAGUCCGGUGAUUGUUAAAUGGGGUUGCUUUAAAUUGAAGAUCAUGAUGAAUUUUGACAAAAAGGUUGAGAAUUUGAGUGAAAAGAUUGAAUCUUGAUUGUUGUGGGCUAUUUGGGAUCAAUGUUGUAAUCUGAUAUUGUGUGGCAGCUUUUGUUGUAAAAGAAAUUGUGUUUUGAUCAACAAUUUAUAUGAUCAUGAGGAGUCGUUAUGGAAUAUUUAAUUGAUAUCUUUUAUUUAUUUAUUUAAUA